Entelurus aequoreus (snake pipefish) is the source of this 329-nucleotide long non-coding RNA. RefSeq lists it as uncharacterized. Lineage: Eukaryota; Metazoa; Chordata; Actinopteri; Syngnathiformes; Syngnathidae. The transcript is spliced from 3 exons. The record is from RefSeq and is a predicted model, not a curated record.
GACACACCGCCCCGCCGCGGAGGGAAAGCGUCCGGUGGGAGCGCGGACUCUGCGCACCGCAGAAAAUAUGAAAAAGCUACUUGAUCACCCGGAAAAUACACUUGAAGCUAAAGAUCAAUUCGUGAGCUAAACUUGCAAAGGAUUACCCUCUCCCCACCAUUGGAAAGAUGAAGCUUGCAAACACUGAACUUCAUGUCCUCAAGGACUAUUUGCUGAUUGGAACAGAUGUUGAGUGUAUAUAGUAAUGGAACCCUAAAUGGAUUGAAACCCCAAUCACAGAGUAUCAAUUAUUGCAAAAAUACAAUAACUGCUUCUACACAGAUGUCGAG